This 467-nucleotide ribosomal RNA is filed under the name uncultured bacterium. RNAcentral's name for it is "partial 16S ribosomal RNA". It matches the Rfam family "Bacterial small subunit ribosomal RNA", at positions 28 to 507 of the family's 1533-position model. The record is from RNAcentral.
GACGAACGCUGGCGGCGUGCUUAACACAUGCAAGUCGAACGGAAAGGCCUCUUUCGGGGGGUACUCGAGUGGCGAACGGGUGAGUAACACGUGAGUAACCUGCCCUUGACUUUGGGAUAACUUCAGGAAACUGGGGCUAAUACCGGAUAGGAGCUCCUGCUGCAUGGUGGGGGUUGGAAAGUUUCGGCGGUUGGGGAUGGACUCGCGGCUUAUCAGCUUGUUGGUGGGGUAGUGGCUUACCAAGGCUUUGACGGGUAGCCGGCCUGAGAGGGUGACCGGCCACAUUGGGGCUGAGAUACGGCCCAGACUCCUACGGGGGGCAGCAGUGGGGAAUAUUGCACAAUGGGUGGAAGCCUGAUGCAGCAACGCCGUGUGCGGGAUGACGGCCUUCGGGUUGUAAACCGCUUUCGCUCAUGACGAAGCUUUGUGUGACGGUAGUGGGUAAAGAAGCACCGGCUAACUACGUG